GAAAUAAGUUAAUCAAGAAUAAGCUUCUAACUUAAAUCUUAAGCAGUGAAACUCUGUUUUUAUUUCU
RNAcentral lists this transfer RNA (67 nucleotides) under Curculionoidea sp. 24 KM-2017. Its description in RNAcentral is "tRNA-Ser". Lineage: Eukaryota; Metazoa; Arthropoda; Insecta; Coleoptera. The record is from RNAcentral.